RNAcentral lists this ribosomal RNA (586 nucleotides) under uncultured bacterium. RNAcentral describes it as "bacterial SSU rRNA". It matches the Rfam family "Bacterial small subunit ribosomal RNA", at positions 338 to 916 of the family's 1533-position model. The record is from RNAcentral.
CCUACGGGAGGCAGCAGUAGGGAAUAUUGUGCAAUGGGCGAAAGCCUGACACAGCCAUGCCGCGUGUGUGAAGAAGGCCCUAGGGUUGUAAAGCACUUUCAGUGGCGAAGAAAAACCCCAUGCUAAUACCAUGGGGCGUUGACGUUAACCACAGAAGAAGUACCGGCUAACUCCGUGCCAGCAGCCGCGGUAAUACGGAGGGUACGAACGUUAAUCGGAAUUACUGGGCGUAAAGCGCGCGUAGGCGGUUCGUUAAGUGAGGUGUGAAAUCCCCGGGCUCAACCUGGGAACUGCACUUCAGACUGGCGGACUAGAGUGUAGUAGAGGGAGGCGGAAUUUCCUGUGUAGCGGUGAAAUGCGUAGAUAUAGGAAGGAACACCAGUGGCGAAGGCGGCCUCCUGGACUAACACUGACGCUGAGGCGCGAAAGCGUGGGGAGCAAACAGGAUUAGAUACCCUGGUAGUCCACGCCGUAAACGAUGAGAACUAGCCGUUGGGCCCCUUGAGGGUUUAGUGGCGCAGCUNACGCGAUAAGUUCUCCGCCUGGGGAGUACNGCCGCAAGGUUAAAACUCAAAUGAAUUGACGG